This 509-nucleotide ribosomal RNA is filed under the name uncultured bacterium. Its description in RNAcentral is "bacterial SSU rRNA". It matches the Rfam family "Bacterial small subunit ribosomal RNA", at positions 28 to 533 of the family's 1533-position model. The record is from RNAcentral.
GACGAACGCUGGCGGCGUGCCUAACACAUGCAAGUCGAGCGGGGUUGAAGCGAGGGGUAACUCGAACUUCUACCUAGCGGCGGACGGGUGAGUAACGCGUGGGCAACCUGCCUCAAGGAUCGGGAUAACAGCUCGAAAGGGCUGCUAAUACCGGAUAUGCCUAUGGCCUCGCAUGGGGCUGUGGGCAAAGGGGAAACCCGCCUUGAGAUGGGCCCGCGUCCCAUCAGCUAGUUGGUGAGGUGAAGGCUCACCAAGGCGACGACGGGUAGCCGGCCUGAGAGGGUGACCGGCCACACUGGGACUGAGACACGGCCCAGACUCCUACGGGGGCAGCAGUGGGGGAUCUUGCACAAUGGGCGAAAGCCUGAUGCAGCGACGCCGCGUGAGCGAAGAAGGCCUUCGGUUGUAAAGCUCUGUCUGGAGGGACGAAGAAAGUAGACGGUACCUACCGGACGGAAGCCAACCGGGCUAACGUACGUUGCCAGCAGCCGCGGUAAAACGUAGACGUG